Molecule: transfer RNA, 66 nt
Filed under: Brephallus tramlapensis
Lineage: Eukaryota; Metazoa; Arthropoda; Insecta; Blattodea; Blaberidae
Description: tRNA-Phe
Rfam family: tRNA
About the family: Transfer RNA (tRNA) molecules are approximately 80 nucleotides in length.
Source: RNAcentral
AUUUAAGUAGCUUAAUUAAAGAGCGUAACACUGAAGAUGUUAAAGUGACUAAUAGGUCUUUAAAUA